AAUCUUGCGCAAUGGGGGAAACCCUGACGCAGCGACGCCGCGUGCGGGAUGACGGCCCUAGUGGUUGUAAACCGCUUUCAGCAGGGACGAAAAUGACGGUACCUGCAGAAGAAGUCCCGGCUAACUACGUGCCAGCAGCCGCGGUAAUACGUAGGGGACAAGCGUUGUCCGGAUUCAUUGGGCGUAAAGAGCUCGUAGGCGGUUCAGUAAGUUGGGUGUGAAAGCUCCGGGCUCAACCCGGAGAGGCCACUCGAUACUGCUGUGACUAGAGUCCAGUAGAGGAGCGUGGAACUCCUGGUGUAGCGGUGAAAUGCGCAGAUAUCAGGAAGAACACCGGCAGCGAAGGCGGCGCUCUGGGCUGGUACUGACGCUGAGGAGCGAAAGCAUGGGUAGCAAACAGGAUUAGAUACCCUGGUAGUCCAUGCCGUA
Molecule: ribosomal RNA, 429 nt
Filed under: uncultured marine bacterium
Lineage: Bacteria
Description: bacterial SSU rRNA
Rfam family: Bacterial small subunit ribosomal RNA
Source: RNAcentral